GGACUAAAGACAUUCAACCAUGCACAAUCCAGUGUUCAAGUCCUAAAUGAUAAAUAACAUGUUGAUUGACUUUUACUCUGAAAAUCACUGAAAACUGCAGUAAUCUUGUAAGACUCACAGUGCUCACACACAUGCAGAAAAACAUACACACUUCCAUUCUUCCUGAAGGAAUGUUACAAAAUGCCCAUUUUUAAAAAAUAAAGGUAAUAGUCGUAAUUAUGACAAAUCCUUCCAUUUUCAACCCAUCUGUUUCUAUUUAACAUCAUCACUUAAACCCUUUAAAAAUGUUCCUGUAAUCUGUGACUGGAAAUUAAUCACUUUGACUUCAGCUUUUAGAAGACCACAGUCACAAUCAUGUACCAAUAGCUGCCUUUUAGGAAAAUGGUGACAUCCAGUGGACAAAUGGUGAAAAGUACUGCUCCAAAUUCCCAUCGCUCGCUCUCUGAAUCAUCAAGAUAUAUGUCAUCCUGAGCCCCACUCACUGUGAGACUUAGGAAACCGCCAGCUUCUGUACCUUAAGCAAAUCCUCCCUGCCCUUCAUAUCUCAAGUCUGUACUGAAGCUGGGAGUAGGAAUAUAUGGUUCUUCAGGCUCUAAAAGUUGAAGUUGUUACCUUGUCCUACUUCCAUUCUCCCCAGCACAGACUAACCGACUCAUGUCUAGGCAUGAAAGAACCAAACUAUGAGAAAUAUACUUAAAUACAAAUGAAUAGCAUAAAAAUUUGAAAAGUUGAAAUCUGAGCUUUUUGCAUGUAUAAUUUAUGACUGUUAAAUAUAAAUAAAGGAUUUAAUUGGUAAUGCUAAUAAUCAAAUUAUAUCCUCUUGCUUCACUGCUUAAAUAUUAUGAAAUACAUAUUUUAGCAAUGAUUGCUUCAGUGCUUAAAACCUUUCUUUUAUAAAUCAGUAUAAAUGAAUACGUUAUACAUUGUUUAAAUAAAAAUAAAAAGGUUCCAUGGAAGCUAUGAUUUACCACUGAUUAUAUGAUCUCAUAUGUUAUGCUCCAAGUACACAAUGCAGCAGAGAUGGCAACACUCACGGCAUGAUAAACCGCCACAAUCAAGACUGCUAUGUUUAAUUGCUUGGAAAAAUGAAAACAAAUUUCACAAAGAAAUUGCAGUAAGCAAAAGGAAAUAUUGGAGAUCUGUUAUUUGUAAAUAAGUCGCCAAAUAAAGAAACCUCUUUUUAAAAAAAGAUUAAGAAUGUAAAAGU
Molecule: long non-coding RNA, 1207 nt
Filed under: Rattus norvegicus (Norway rat)
Lineage: Eukaryota; Metazoa; Chordata; Mammalia; Rodentia; Muridae
Description: long non-coding RNA NONRATT019558
Source: RNAcentral